CAGCCGUAAACUAUGCGCGUUAGGUGUAUCGGUGACCACGAGUCACCGAGGUGCCGAAGGGAAACCGUGAAACGUGCCGCCUGGGAAGUACGGUCGCAAGGCUGAAACUUAAAGGAAUUGGCGGGGAGCACCACAACAGGUGGAGCCUGCGGUUUAAUUUGGACUCAACGCCGGGAAGCUCACCGGAUAGGACAGCAGAAUGAUUGCCGGGCUGAAGACCCUGCAUGACUAGCUGAGAGGAGGUGCAUGGCGUCAGUGACU
This 261-nucleotide ribosomal RNA is filed under the name uncultured archaeon. Its description in RNAcentral is "partial 16S ribosomal RNA". It matches the Rfam family "Archaeal small subunit ribosomal RNA", at positions 748 to 1008 of the family's 1478-position model. The record is from RNAcentral.